AUAUAUAUGUGUGUGUGUAUAUAUCUAUGUGUGUGUGUGUGUGUGUGUGUGUAUAUAUAUAUACACACACACACACACACACACACACACACACACACACACACACGUGGGAUCUUCCUGGACUGGGGCACGAACCCAUGUCCCCUGCAUCGUUAGGCGGACUCCUAACCACUG
RNAcentral lists this small nucleolar RNA (174 nucleotides) under Phocoena sinus (vaquita). Its description in RNAcentral is "Small nucleolar RNA SNORA23 (ENSPSNG00000004632.1)". It matches the Rfam family "Small nucleolar RNA SNORA23". From Rfam's summary of the family: The members of this family belong to the H/ACA class of snoRNAs which are thought to guide the sites of modification of uridines to pseudouridines. This family includes human snoRNA ACA23 (SNORA23) and mouse snoMBI-1. ACA23 is predicted to guide the pseudouridylation of residue U3737 and U4331 of 28S rRNA. The record is from Rfam by way of RNAcentral. Lineage: Eukaryota; Metazoa; Chordata; Mammalia; Artiodactyla; Phocoenidae.